GGAUGGCCGAUUUAAGGUAUUAGAUUGUAAAUCUAACCAUGGGGAAUCCCUCUUACUAUAUA
This 62-nucleotide transfer RNA is filed under the name Branchinella kugenumaensis. RNAcentral's name for it is "tRNA-Tyr". Lineage: Eukaryota; Metazoa; Arthropoda; Branchiopoda; Anostraca; Thamnocephalidae. The record is from RNAcentral.